UAAGUGUUUUCAAAACAAAAUGCAUAAAAUUUACAGCUUCUAAACUCAUGUCUAACUUUAGUUUAAGACCUUGUUUAAAACGAUUCGGCUAAAAUAAUUUCAUGCCAACGACUUCAACAAUUUCUUCGCUAUCGGUGAAAUCUCGAGUGAAAUGAUCGCAAACAGCUACACGAAAACAGCUUGCUUAUUCAUCCCUUCGCGGCUGGUCCGACAAAUGAAAGACGGAGGCGCUGGGAAUUGGCUAUUGGCCGAAAGCUGUAUUUGGUUACCGGUACAUGAGCAGGCAAAAAAGGCUACAAACAUCGAACACAAAAUGCUGAGUGACUACCAGUGAGGGAAGGAAUUUCGUUAUAGUUUCAGUCGAGGUUUCAGUGAUGUGAAUGGAAGUCGAUGAUGAAAGUCGAAGCCCUUUAAGAAAACGAAUUAAGACCAGACUUUUCCGCAGUUCGAGCAAUAUAUAUUCGGGAACCAUCACGGAAUAACUAUUCUGAUCUGGACGAGUUGUGCUUUAAUAUUUUCCGAAGCGAAACAUCGUUUUUCAAGAUAUUGUUAUUUUUCAAUCCCCUGUUUCCUAAAGUUUCAACUCGUUUUAACAAUGCCUGAUGAAAAACUUAACUAUUUAUUAAAUAAAAUGUGUACAAUAAAAAUAAAUUAAUAUGUCUGAA
Long non-coding RNA from Armigeres subalbatus, 665 nucleotides. RefSeq lists it as uncharacterized. The record is from RefSeq and is a predicted model, not a curated record. The transcript is spliced from 2 exons. Lineage: Eukaryota; Metazoa; Arthropoda; Insecta; Diptera; Culicidae.